Pecten maximus is the source of this 589-nucleotide long non-coding RNA. RefSeq lists it as uncharacterized. NCBI's taxonomy places the organism in Eukaryota, Metazoa, Mollusca, Bivalvia, Pectinida, Pectinidae. The record is from RefSeq and is a predicted model, not a curated record. The transcript has 2 exons.
CUCACACCUGAAAGUAAAAAUAUAAUGGGAAAACAAAUCAUGACGUAAUUGAUAUUAAUAGUAUCGACAAAGCCUACCAUUCAAUGACUGACUGUACAGUGGUUUGGAUAAUUAUAUGUAUUUAGUACAUCUCUUCUAAAACCACAUACUGCUUUUUCUACAGACAGUAUUUUGAUAGUGUUUAAAUUAGAGUUAAAACUCUUAACACAUAAUCAAAGGAGAUAAAACAUGUGGUAUAUAUGGACAAAAAGGGAAAACAAUUUUUAAUGAAAGUUUUUAUAUCCAAUGGCUCACUGUGAAAUUCCCUUUUCUAGUACAUGCAUGUCAGUCAUAUAGGCGUUAAUUACGUUAAUUACAGCUAUGUUAUUGCAUUAAAACGUUGAUUAUGAUAUUGUCAAAUUAGCGACUAUUUAAGAGCACAGGAGGCAAAAGAGGUUGCUCUGGUGGGCAAAUCCCGAAAACGAAAGAUCACAAGAGAACGAAUGUUAGUUUAUUAGGCGCCCCGAAAUUCAUCAUGACCAGAGGAAAUUGGUUUCUCCUUGUAAUCUGAACUACGAUUACUAUUGCAAACCGAAGAAAAAUUGCAAAA